UUCUACCGUUUCAGUUUGUCAAUUGGACUUAAAGUUUUAUUGAUCCUUCAGGUGGGGCAAAGGAAAUAUCUUUUUAAAACCUAGACAAACUGAGUGUUUUCUCUUGUAAUCUGUCAGGAGACAGACUG
Molecule: small nucleolar RNA, 128 nt
Filed under: Chinchilla lanigera (long-tailed chinchilla)
Lineage: Eukaryota; Metazoa; Chordata; Mammalia; Rodentia; Chinchillidae
Description: Small nucleolar RNA SNORA27 (ENSCLAG00000019693.1)
Rfam family: Small nucleolar RNA SNORA27
About the family: ACA27 is a member of the H/ACA class of snoRNA that guide the sites of modification of uridines to pseudouridines.
Source: Rfam by way of RNAcentral